This is a non-coding RNA of Schistosoma mattheei, 48 nucleotides long. The record is from Rfam. Lineage: Eukaryota; Metazoa; Platyhelminthes; Trematoda; Strigeidida; Schistosomatidae.
AUCCAGCUGAUGACUCUCAGAUAGGACGAAACGCGCGUCACACUGGAU